This 495-nucleotide ribosomal RNA is filed under the name uncultured bacterium. RNAcentral's name for it is "partial 16S ribosomal RNA". It matches the Rfam family "Bacterial small subunit ribosomal RNA", at positions 30 to 507 of the family's 1533-position model. The record is from RNAcentral.
UGAACGCUGGCGGCGUGCCUAAUACAUGCAAGUCGAGCGACCGGACGAGAAGCUUGCUUCUCUGAUGUUAGCGGCGGACGGGUGAGUAACACGUGGAUAACCUACCUAUAAGACUGGGAUAACUUCGGGAAACCGGAGCUAAUACCGGAUGAUAUUUUGAACCGCAUGGUUCCAAAGUGAAAGACGGUCUUGCUGUCACUUAUAGAUGGAUCCGCGCUGCAUUAGCUAGUUGGUAAGGUAACGGCUUACCAAGGCAACGAUGCAUAGCCGACCUGAGAGGGUGAUCGGCCACACUGGAACUGAGACACGGUCCAGACUCCUACGGGAGGCAGCAGUAGGGAAUCUUCCGCAAUGGGCGAAAGCCUGACGGAGCAACGCCGCGUGAGUGAUGAAGGUCUUCGGAUCGUAAAACUCUGUUAUUAGGGAAGAACAUAUGUGUAAGUAACUGUGCACAUCUUGACGGUACCUAAUCAGAAAGCCACGGCUAACUACGUG